This 1202-nucleotide long non-coding RNA is filed under the name Homo sapiens (human). RNAcentral's name for it is "HSALNT0022084". Lineage: Eukaryota; Metazoa; Chordata; Mammalia; Primates; Hominidae. The record is from RNAcentral.
GAAGGGAUAAGAGAGAGGGGCCGAGUCACUACCUUUUGUUCUUUAUAUUUGGAUAGAUGUGGAAUUGUUAAGGUCAGGCUUUCUGCAGAGUGAAAGGAUAGUAAGUACUGUUUGCAGAGCUGACCCAGUUCCUCCAGGCAUUUCAGAACAUUCUAUGAAGGAGCUAUACACUCGUCUUUGGAGAAAAGGAGAACUCGUGGUCACACUUAUCCCUCCAAAAAGAAUGAAGCUUAAAAUUCAGGGCCUUUAACCCAUAAGUUACAGAGGUAAAGAAUAAAUGCACACUGCAGGAAAAAGGGGCCUUACAGUGGGUAAGAAAGAACCACCAUUUGGGAACAGUACCAGAGAGAAACGCACAUUUAGACUGGGUAGUGAAGAGAGCAUCGGCUUACUAGUCAGUUACCAUGUUCCUGGGAGCUUUGAUGAUCUGCCAAAACAUGACAGAUGUUCAGAAAGGUAAGGAGACUCAAGUCACUGCCUUUUAAUUAUUACUAUAUGGGUGGUUAUGGGUGUGUGUUUUAGUAUAUAUGCAUGUGUGUGUAUAUUUCUUUCUCAGUGUUGAUAGUAUAUUUCCAUAAAUAUUGUUAUACUGGGGAGAUUAAAGCAACUGCAGGAAUCCACUGUACUUUUUUCUAAGGUUUUUAUUAUUGUUUUUGCCUUUGCCCUCUUCCCUUCUAAACUGCCUCGGUUAUUAUUCAGGCUUAUACUAUACAUUGUUGAACAAAUGCCAGCUCUAUGGAAACCACAGUUCUCCCUGUCCAUGGGUCACUUUGGUACAUGUUUCAUUUGGAGCAGCCGUAACAGAGCCCAGCUUCAAAGGAGAGAGCUCACAACAGACGUGGGCAGGAAUUUCAUUAUGCCACAUGUGACAGGCAGGCUGCUCUGCCCAUUUCAGCAAUCAACAACCUUGUGGGGCACAGACAGAUGAGAAGGGAUACCCUACUGCUUCCCUAUUUGGCUCAGCCCCUUCCUCCCUAACCUCUUUCAAACUCACCUAAUGAAGGCCACAUAAUGAGACUUCCCUGAGAAACCAGGACUAUUGACAGGAAGUCUUUACAAGGGUCUGAAUCCACCCACCUCUCAUUUUUCUUCCUCUUCAUGAGGUCUUUUUUUCCUAGUUCAUGUUAGUUUAUAUUUUCAGUAUACUUUCAAUUCCAUAACUGACCUAACCUUUCCAUGUGGUUGCACCUGCAGCUUUUGAA